GCCGAUGUAGCUCAGUUGGUAGAGCAACUCCAUGGUAAGGAGUAGGUCGCCGGUUCGAGUCCGGCCAUCGGCU
Molecule: transfer RNA, 73 nt
Rfam family: tRNA
About the family: Transfer RNA (tRNA) molecules are approximately 80 nucleotides in length. Their secondary structure includes four short double-helical elements and three loops (D, anti-codon, and T loops).